RNAcentral lists this ribosomal RNA (905 nucleotides) under uncultured bacterium. RNAcentral's name for it is "bacterial SSU rRNA". It matches the Rfam family "Bacterial small subunit ribosomal RNA", at positions 1 to 897 of the family's 1533-position model. The record is from RNAcentral.
UCGCCCUUAGAGUUUGAUCCUGGCUCAGGAUGAACGCUAGCUACAGGCUUAACACAUGCAAGUCGAGGGGCAGCGGGAUUGAAGCUUGCUUCAAUUGCCGGCGACCGGCGCACGGGUGAGUAACGCGUAUCCAACCUUCCGUACACUCAGGGAUAGCCUUUCGAAAGAAAGAUUAAUACCUGAUGGUAUGAUGAGAUUGCAUGAUAGCAUCAUUAAAGAUUUAUCGGUGUACGAUGGGGAUGCGUUCCAUUAGGUAGUAGGCGGGGUAACGGCCCACCUAGCCAACGAUGGAUAGGGGUUCUGAGAGGAAGGUCCCCCACAUUGGAACUGAGACACGGUCCAAACUCCUACGGGAGGCAGCAGUGAGGAAUAUUGGUCAAUGGACGAGAGUCUGAACCAGCCAAGUAGCGUGAAGGAUGAAGGUCCUACGGAUUGUAAACUUCUUUUAUAAGGGAAUAAACCCUCCCACGUGUGGGAGCUUGUAUGUACCUUAUGAAUAAGCAUCGGCUAACUCCGUGCCAGCAGCCGCGGUAAUACGGAGGAUGCGAGCGUUAUCCGGAUUUAUUGGGUUUAAAGGGAGCGCAGACGGGUCGUUAAGUCAGCUGUGAAAGUUUGGGGCUCAACCUUAAAAUUGCAGUUGAUACUGGCGUCCUUGAGUGCGGUUGAGGUGUGCGGAAUUCGUGGUGUAGCGGUGAAAUGCUUAGAUAUCACGAAGAACUCCGAUUGCGAAGGCAGCACACUAAUCCGUAACUGACGUUCAUGCUCGAAAGUGUGGGUAUCAAACAGGAUUAGAUACCCUGGUAGUCCACACGGUAAACGAUGGAUACUCGCUGUUGGCGAUAUACUGUCAGCGGCUUAGCGAAAGCGUUAAGUAUCCCACCUGGGGAGUACGCCGGCAACGGUUG